This 382-nucleotide ribosomal RNA is filed under the name uncultured organism. Its description in RNAcentral is "bacterial SSU rRNA". It matches the Rfam family "Bacterial small subunit ribosomal RNA", at positions 367 to 762 of the family's 1533-position model. The record is from RNAcentral.
CGCAAUGGGCGAAAGCCUGACGGAGCGACGUCGCGUGGAGGAGGAAGUACUUCGGUACGUAAACUCCUUUUGCCAGGGAAAAAGUUUAUUGAUUGUACCUGGAGAAUAAGAGGUUGCUAAACUCGUGCCAGCAGCAGCGGUAAUACGAGUGCCUCGAGCGUUAUCCGGAAUUAUUGGGCGUAAAGGGUGUGUAGGUGGUUAUGUUAGUCUCUUGUAAAAUUCCUCGGCUCAACCGAGGGCUCGCGAGAGAAACGGCAUGACUUGAGUAUGGAAGGGGUCUCUGGAACUCAUGGUGUAGCGGUGAAAUGCGUUGAUAUCAUGGGGAACACCAAAAGCGAAGGCAGGAGACUGGUCCAUUACUGACACUGAAACACGAAAGCGU